GUACAUGAUGUCUCUGUCAAACGAUGCGAAUGCUCGGUGUGAAAUGAAUAUUUAUUGAUGUGAAUAUCGCUGAUUAUCACAAUCUGACACCGAGUCUGAAAUGUUUUGUUGUGUUUAUGAAUUAUAAAUCUUAUAAAUUGUGAUGUCUGGUAUCAAGGAUUAAGGAUAAUAGAAACAUGGCAAAUGAAGAAAUAAAGUUCUAAUAAAUAUGGAUGGAGAGAUUUAUUGAGCUGAUAAAUCAUCAGGUAUCAAGAGAAAAAGAAAUUUUUCAUGGAAAAUUUCUAGAAACUCCGUGAAGCAAUGGCAUUGUUUUAAAGAUUCUUCGAUAAUUCAAUCGAUUUCUAAUUAUACGAUUGGAUUUCAUUCAACUGUAAAUGUCUUCAAGUUUAUGGGGUCAUGUUGAAAGGAGAACUCGAUGGAAUUCAUUGGCUUUUAUUGGAAUAUGGCAAAGGCCAAAAUGAAGAUCUUUCAAUCGGUUGUAGAAAUCUUUAGUUAGUCAUAUUUAAUAGAGUUAGUAAGUGAAUACAAAUCUUUGGGCUGUAUUCUAAAAUAACAAUAAAUAUAAAUAAAAUCAUGUUACACGAAUAUGUUACACAAAAUGAAAUAGGGAGAAAUAUUCAAGUUUUCUUUCUUUUUGUUAAUUUGAGAAACUGAAAUGAAUGAAUGAAAUAGAUCAUUCUAAAUAUUAAACAAACAACAUUAAAAUUUUUCAUUGCAAAUUUCUAAGAGCUAUGAAAGCUAAAUCUGUGAAAAUGUUUUUGAAAAUUAUUUUAA
Apis laboriosa (Himalayan honeybee) is the source of this 774-nucleotide long non-coding RNA. RefSeq lists it as uncharacterized. Lineage: Eukaryota; Metazoa; Arthropoda; Insecta; Hymenoptera; Apidae. The transcript has 3 exons. The record is from RefSeq and is a predicted model, not a curated record.